Triticum aestivum (bread wheat) is the source of this 116-nucleotide non-coding RNA. Lineage: Eukaryota; Viridiplantae; Streptophyta; Magnoliopsida; Poales; Poaceae. The record is from Rfam.
CUAAUACUCCCUUCGUCCCGAAUUACUUGUCGUAGAAAUGGAUGUGUCUAGAACUAAAAAUACGUCUAGAUACAUCCAUUUCUGCGACAAGUAAUUUGGGGCGGAGGGAGUACAAU